AACCUCCGCAAUGUGAGAAAUCGCGACGGGGGGAUCCCAAGUGCCAUUCUUAACGGGAUGGCUUUUCAUUAGUGUAAAGAGCUUUUGGAAUAAGAGCUGGGCAGGACCGGUGCCAGCCGCCGCGGUAACACCGGCAGCUCUAGUGGUAGCAAUUUUUAUUGGGCCUAAAGCGUCCGUAGCCGGUUUAAUAAGUCUCUGGUGGAAUCCUGCAGCUUAACUGUGGGAAUUGCUGGAGAUACUAUUAGACUUGAGAUCGGGAGAGGUUAGAGGUACUCCCAGGGUAGAGGUGAAAUUCUGUAAUCCUGGGAGGACCGCCUGUUGCGAAGGCGUCUAACUGGAACGAUUCUGACGGUGAGGGACGAAAGUUAGGGGCGCGAACCGGGAUUAGAUACCCGGGUAGUCCUAACUGUAAACGAUGCGGACUUGGUGUUGGGGUGGCUUUGAGCUGCUCCAGUGCCGAAGGAAGCUGUUAAGUCCGCCGCCUGGGAAGUACGGUGCAAGACUGAAACUUAAAGGAAUU
RNAcentral lists this ribosomal RNA (520 nucleotides) under uncultured bacterium. RNAcentral describes it as "bacterial SSU rRNA". It matches the Rfam family "Archaeal small subunit ribosomal RNA", at positions 345 to 866 of the family's 1478-position model. The record is from RNAcentral.